GCUAGCAGCAGCUCUUCGUGGUCUCACUCAGGCAGAGAGGAGGUCUUUCCCAGUCCUGCUACUUAAGAUCCUUCAACUGGAGAUGCCAGGAACUGAACCUGGGACCUUCUGCUAUGCAGGGUGAAAAGUUUGCCUAAAUCUCCCCUUGAGAAUUCAUGGCAGAGGUGAGCUUCGAACCAGAGUUUCGAUUAUCAUCUCAAUCUCUGGUGCUUUUCGUAUGACGCAGGGAUGCAAGAAGAAGAAAUGCCAAUGGUGGCACCAAGAUUCCAAGGCCUGAGGAGUCCAUGGGCAUAUAUGAAGUGGGCAGAAAGACAGACAUUUAAAGGAUAAUGAAGAAGAUGUGUUUAUUUAAAUGCCGCCCUGUUUUCCACGCUAUCUUUCUAGCUAUGAGGAUUGCCCCCCAAAAGCCUGUGGAUUGCAGAAACUAUUUUUAGAUCAGAUACAUUUAUGCAGUGUGUAACUCAGUUCAUCUCUAUCUUCCUUCUCAUCUUCCAUUAUUCCUGAUCCCAAAGGU
This is a long non-coding RNA of Hemicordylus capensis (graceful crag lizard), 514 nucleotides long. RefSeq lists it as uncharacterized. The transcript has 3 exons. Lineage: Eukaryota; Metazoa; Chordata; Lepidosauria; Squamata; Cordylidae. The record is from RefSeq and is a predicted model, not a curated record.